GAUGAACGCUGGCAGCGUGCCUAAUACAUGCAAGUCGAGCGAACGGACGAGAAGCUUGCUUUUCUGAUGUUAGCGGCGGACGGGUGAGUAACACGUGGAUAACCUACCUAUAAGACUGGGAUAACUUCGGGAAACCGGAGCUAAUACCGGAUAAUAUUUUGAACCGCAUGGUUCAAAAGUGAAAGACGGUCUUGCUGUCACUUAUAGAUGGAUCCGCGCUGCAUUAGCUAGUUGGUAAGGUAACGGCUUACCAAGGCAACGAUGCAUAGCCGACCUGAGAGGGUGAUCGGCCACACUGGAACUGAGACACGGUCCAGACUCCUACGGGAGGCAGCAGUAGGGAAUCUUCCGCAAUGGGCGAAAGCCUGACGGAGCAACGCCGCGUGAGUGAUGAAGGUCUUCGGAUCGUAAAACUCUGUUAUUAGGGAAGAACAUAUGUGUAAGUAACUGUGCACAUCUUGACGGUACCUAAUCAGAAAGCCACGGCUAACUACGUG
Molecule: ribosomal RNA, 497 nt
Filed under: uncultured bacterium
Lineage: Bacteria
Description: partial 16S ribosomal RNA
Rfam family: Bacterial small subunit ribosomal RNA
Source: RNAcentral